Molecule: transfer RNA, 72 nt
Filed under: Ovis aries (sheep)
Lineage: Eukaryota; Metazoa; Chordata; Mammalia; Artiodactyla; Bovidae
Rfam family: tRNA
About the family: Transfer RNA (tRNA) molecules are approximately 80 nucleotides in length.
Source: Rfam by way of RNAcentral
UCCCUCAUAGCUCAGUUGGUAAAGAAUCUGCCUGCAAUGCAGGAGACCCAGGUUUGAUUCCUGGUUUGGGAA